CCUACGGGGUGCAGCAGUGGGGAAUAUUGGGCAAUGGGCGCAAGCCUGACCCAGCAACGCCGCGUGAGGGAAGAAGGCUUUCGGGUUGUAAACUUCUUUUGUCAGGGACGAAGCAAGUGACGGUACCUGACGAAUAAGCCACGGCUAACUACGUGCCAGCAGCCGCGGUAAUACGUAGGUGGCAAGCGUUAUCAGGAUUUACUGGGUGUAAAGGGCGUGUAGGCGGGACUGCAAGUCUGAUGUGAAAACCACGGGCUCAACCUGUGACCUGCAUUUGAAACUGUAGAUCUUGAGUACUGGAGAGGCAGACGGAAUUCCUAGUGUAGCGGUGAAAUGCGUAGAUAUUAGGAGGAACACCAGUGGCGAAGGCGGUCUGCUGGACAGCAACUGACGCUGAGGCGCGAAAGCGUGGGGAGCAAACAGGAUUAGAUACCCGAGUAGUC
This 443-nucleotide ribosomal RNA is filed under the name uncultured bacterium. Its description in RNAcentral is "partial 16S ribosomal RNA". It matches the Rfam family "Bacterial small subunit ribosomal RNA", at positions 338 to 795 of the family's 1533-position model. The record is from RNAcentral.